Molecule: ribosomal RNA, 497 nt
Filed under: uncultured bacterium
Lineage: Bacteria
Description: partial 16S ribosomal RNA
Rfam family: Bacterial small subunit ribosomal RNA
Source: RNAcentral
GAUGAACGCUGGCGGCGUGCCUAAUACAUGCAAGUCGAGCGAACAGAUGAGGAGCUUGCUCCUCUGACGUUAGCGGCGGACGGGUGAGUAACACGUGGAUAACCUACCUAUAAGACUGGGAUAACUUCGGGAAACCGGAGCUAAUACCGGAUAAUAUAUUGAACCGCAUGGUUCAAUAGUGAAAGACGGUUUUGCUGUCACUUAUAGAUGGAUCCGCGCCGCAUUAGCUAGUUGGUAAGGUAACGGCUUACCAAGGCAACGAUGCGUAGCCGACCUGAGAGGGUGAUCGGCCACACUGGAACUGAGAAACGGUCCAGAAUCCUAAGGGAGGCAGCAGUAGGGAAUCUUCCGCAAUGGGCGGAAGGCUGAAGGAGCAAAGCCGCGUGAGGGAAGGAGGUCUUCGGAUCGGAAAAAUCUUUUAAUAGGGAAGAACAAAUGUGGAAGUAACUAUGCACGUCUUGACGGUACCUAAUCAGAAAGCCACGGCUAACUACGUG